GGUGGCUCAGUGGUAGAGCACUUGUCUUGCAUGCAUGAGGUCCUGGAUUCGAUUCCUCAGCACCA
This 65-nucleotide transfer RNA is filed under the name Dipodomys ordii (Ord's kangaroo rat). It matches the Rfam family "tRNA". Rfam says of the family: Transfer RNA (tRNA) molecules are approximately 80 nucleotides in length. Lineage: Eukaryota; Metazoa; Chordata; Mammalia; Rodentia; Heteromyidae. The record is from Rfam by way of RNAcentral.